Molecule: unclassified non-coding RNA, 233 nt
Filed under: fungal sp.
Lineage: Eukaryota; Fungi
Description: partial contains 5.8S ribosomal RNA, internal transcribed spacer 2, and large subunit ribosomal RNA
Source: RNAcentral
CGCACAUUGCGCUCCUUGGUUUUCCAGGGAGCAUGUCUAUCCGAGCGUCGUUGCAACAAUCAAGUCUGACUUGGUCAUGGGGAGCGUCCCGUUGGGGCCUCCCUCAAACGCAACUCGACGUGCCCACCGUCCGGAGCGCAGCAGAUUUGCAGCCCCGUCCGGCGCGACCCGAGCCGCUUUGUGCGGAUCCACAGGUUGACCUCGGAUUAGAUAAGGAUACCCGCUGAACUUAA